AAAUUGAAGAGUUUGAUCAUGGCUCAGAUUGAACGCUGGCGGCAGGCCUAACACAUGCAAGUCGAGCGGUAGCACAGAGAGCUUGCUCUCGGGUGACGAGCGGCGGACGGGUGAGUAAUGUCUGGGAAACUGCCUGAUGGAGGGGGAUAACUACUGGAAACGGUAGCUAAUACCGCAUAAUGUCGCAAGACCAAAGUGGGGGACCUUCGGGCCUCAUGCCAUCAGAUGUGCCCAGAUGGGAUUAGCUAGUAGGUGGGGUAACGGCUCACCUAGGCGACGAUCCCUAGCUGGUCUGAGAGGAUGACCAGCCACACUGGAACUGAGACACGGUCCAGACUCCUACGGGAGGCAGCAGUGGGGAAUAUUGCACAAUGGGCGCAAGCCUGAUGCAGCCAUGCCGCGUGUGUGAAGAAGGCCUUCGGGUUGUAAAGCACUUUCAGCGGGGAGGAAGGCGGUGAGGUUAAUAACCUCAUCGAUUGACGUUACCCGCAGAAGAAGCACCGGCUAACUCCGUGCCAGCAGCCGCGGUAAUACGGAGGGUGCAAGCGUU
RNAcentral lists this ribosomal RNA (550 nucleotides) under Klebsiella pneumoniae. RNAcentral's name for it is "bacterial SSU rRNA". It matches the Rfam family "Bacterial small subunit ribosomal RNA", at positions 1 to 542 of the family's 1533-position model. Lineage: Bacteria; Pseudomonadati; Pseudomonadota; Gammaproteobacteria; Enterobacterales; Enterobacteriaceae. The record is from RNAcentral.